This 488-nucleotide ribosomal RNA is filed under the name uncultured Latescibacterota bacterium. RNAcentral's name for it is "bacterial SSU rRNA". It matches the Rfam family "Bacterial small subunit ribosomal RNA", at positions 903 to 1382 of the family's 1533-position model. The record is from RNAcentral. Lineage: Bacteria; Pseudomonadati; Candidatus Latescibacterota.
GAAACUACGAAAGGAAGUUGACGGGGCCCGCACAAGCGGUGGAGCAUGUGUUUAAUUCGAUGCAACGCGAAGAACCUUACCUGGGCUUGACAUCCCGGGAAUCCCUUGGAACAAGGGAGUGCCCUUCGGGGAACCUGAGACAGGUGCUGCAUGGCUGUCGUCAGCUCGUGUCGUGAGAUGUUGGGUUAAGUCCCGCAACGAGCGCAACCCUUAUCCCCAGUUGCCAUCAGGUAAAGCUGGGAACUCUGGGGAGACUGCCGGUGAUAAACCGGAGGAAGGCGGGGAUGACGUCAAGUCCUCAUGGCUCUUACAUCCCGGGCUACACACGUGCUACAAUGGCAGGUACAGAGGGCUGCGAAGCCGCGAGGUGGAGCGAAUCCCAGAAAACCUGUCUCAGUCCGGAUUGAAGUCUGCAACUCGACUUCAUGAAGGCGGAAUCGCUAGUAACCGCGAAUCAGCAGGUCGCGGUGAAUACGUUCCCGGGCCUU